This 463-nucleotide ribosomal RNA is filed under the name uncultured bacterium. RNAcentral describes it as "partial 16S ribosomal RNA". It matches the Rfam family "Bacterial small subunit ribosomal RNA", at positions 28 to 507 of the family's 1533-position model. The record is from RNAcentral.
GAUGAACGCUGACCGAAUGCUUAACACAUGCAAGUCUUUGGUGAAGCUGUGCUUGCACCGCCUAGCCAAGGCGGACGGGUGAGUAACGCGUAAGGAACUUGCCCUGCAGUCAGGGAUAACAGACGGAAACGACUGAUAAGACCUGGUAAAGUCAGGCGGACUCAUGUCCAGCCUGAUGAAAAGAGAUGCUGCAGGAGAGCCUUGCGUCCUAUUAGCUUGUUGGUGGGGUAACGGCCCACCAAGGCAAUGAUAGGUAGCCGGCCUGAGCGGGUGGACGGCCACAAGGGGACUGAGAUACGGCCCUUACUACUACGGGAGGCAGGAGUGGGGAAUAGUGGACCAUGGGGGCAACCCUGAUCCAGCAAUUCUGUGUGCACGAUGAAGGUUUUCGGAUUGUAAAGUGCUUUCAGCAGGGAAGAAAAAAAUGACGGUACCUGCAGAAGAAGCGACGGCUAACUACGUG